AUGAUUUGCAGGUUUGAUUUCUUGUCAAGAUAGAUGAGGUAACGUUUGGAUGACAACGGGUCAAACGAAUGAUAAAGCAACAACACUCCUACGGGCGAAGGGAUAUACCUGAGACUUGGAAAAAAGGGGCUCCUGGAUUAAAAUGGAAAAAGUCACAAAAUGCAUGACUCGAGAAAUGAAGUAGUGGCCCGAUGUUGUUUCAUUGGGUGUCAUGAGCGUUGAAAACUCCUUUAUUUUUUAUACUAAAAAAAUAAUAUUAUGAGUCCUCACUUAGCAAAAGCUAAUUUUUGUGGUGUCUUCAAUGUAGGUGAUAUGUUUGAGAACAAUGAACGGAUAGAUAAGUCAUGAGAAACAAUGGGGUGGCUUGAACCGGUAACAUGGAAGAAGAAAAGAACUCACAAGUCGUUCAUCAAUAAUCCGAUUCGGGUAGUAGAAAGGCGAAAGUGAUCAAGUCUUGAAAGCAGGUCAACUACGGAAAGAUUUAGUGGUGUUUUGUUCACUAAGUAUAAGGGCUUUCU
Molecule: long non-coding RNA, 518 nt
Filed under: Helianthus annuus (common sunflower)
Lineage: Eukaryota; Viridiplantae; Streptophyta; Magnoliopsida; Asterales; Asteraceae
Source: RNAcentral